CCUACGUGCGGCAGCAGUGGGGAAUAUUGGACAAUGGGCGAAAGCCUGAUCCAGCCAUGCCGCGUGUGUGAAGAAGGCCUUCGGGUUGUAAAGCACUUUCAGUGGGGAAGAAAGCCUUGGGGCUAAUACCCUCGAGGAAGGACAUCACCCACAGAAGAAGCACCGGCUAACUCCGUGCCAGCAGCCGCGGUAAUACGGAGGGUGCGAGCGUUAAUCGGAAUUACGGGGCGUAAAGCGCGCGUAGGCGGUCUGAUAAGCCGGUUGUGAAAGCCCCGGGCUCAACCUGGGAACGGCAUCCGGAACUGUCAGGCUAGAGUGCAGGAGAGGAAGGUAGAAUUCCCGGUGUAGCGGUGAAAUGCGUAGAGAUCGGGAGGAAUACCAGUGGCGAAGGCGGCCUUCUGGACUGACACUGACGCUGAGGUGCGAAAGCGUGGGUAGCAAACAGGAUUAGAUACCCUAGUAGUC
This 465-nucleotide ribosomal RNA is filed under the name Vreelandella stevensii. Its description in RNAcentral is "partial 16S ribosomal RNA". It matches the Rfam family "Bacterial small subunit ribosomal RNA", at positions 338 to 795 of the family's 1533-position model. The record is from RNAcentral. Lineage: Bacteria; Pseudomonadati; Pseudomonadota; Gammaproteobacteria; Oceanospirillales; Halomonadaceae.